Molecule: long non-coding RNA, 436 nt
Organism: Motacilla alba alba
Lineage: Eukaryota; Metazoa; Chordata; Aves; Passeriformes; Motacillidae
Exons: 3
Source: RefSeq, a predicted model, not a curated record
CGUUCCUGCAAUGCCCGCCACAUCCUUGGAGCCUCUAGCAGCGAAGGCGAGGAAUUCGGGUGCUCGACCCGGCAGCUGACGGUAGAAAUGGAUGAAAUCGCCGCUCACUUUUUGGGGAUGUGAGCAGAAAAUGCCAUGCAAGGGGAGAUGGGAGAGGACGACAGAGCAGAGCGCACUUUGAUAUGUUUGAAUCCUCAAGUAUGGAGACGUAAUUCUCUGAGAGUAUUUGAUUGAAGACGGAAGAAAAUUUGAGAUCAUCUGGGUGGACAGAGGACAAGUAAGAACAGAAAAGGAAGAGAAGAGCAAGAGAUGAAUCUUGAGCAUGGGCCGAUCUCACACAGCCCGCUGACCCGGACGUCCCAGGUCGCGAACGCCACGCACCGAGCAGCAGCGCGGCCAGCGCCGGCAGCCCCGCGGCCCGAGCCCGCCGCAUGGC